This 814-nucleotide ribosomal RNA is filed under the name uncultured bacterium. RNAcentral's name for it is "bacterial SSU rRNA". It matches the Rfam family "Bacterial small subunit ribosomal RNA", at positions 8 to 796 of the family's 1533-position model. The record is from RNAcentral.
AGAGUUUGAUCAUGGCUCAGAACAAACGCUGGCGGCGUGCCUAACACAUGCAAGUCGCACGAGAAAUACCUGGCUUGCCAGGUAGAGUACAGUGGCGCACGGGUGAGUAACGCGUGGGUAAUCUACCCCCAAGACUGGGAUAACCCACCGAAAGGUGGACUAAUACCGGAUAAGCUCACAGCCCCUCGGGGUAGUGAGAAAAGCGGCCCUCUACAUGUAAGGUCGUACUUGGGGACGAGCCCGCGUCCCAUUAGCUAGUUGGUGAGGUAACGGCUCACCAAGGCGACGAUGGGUAGCUGGUCUGAGAGGAUGAUCAGCCACACUGGGACUGGAACACGGCCCAGACUCCUACGGGAGGCAGCAGUGGGGAAUCUUGCGCAAUGGGGGAAACCCUGACGCAGCAACGCCGCGUGGGUGAAGAAGGGCCUCGGCUCGUAAAGCCCUGUCAGGUGGGAAGAAAUGGUCGGGAACCAAUACCUCCCGGCCUUGACGGUACCACCAAAGGAAGCACCGGCUAACUCCGUGCCAGCAGCCGCGGUAAUACGGAGGGUGCAAGCGUUGUUCGGAAUCACUGGGCGUAAAGCGCGUGUAGGCGGUCCGGUAAGUCCCCUGUGAAAGCCCGGGGCUUAACCCCGGAAGUGCAGGGGAUACUGCUGGACUUGAGUCCGGGAGAGGGGAGUGGAAUUCCCGGUGUAGAGGUGAAAUUCGUAGAUAUCGGGAGGAACACCAGUGGCGAAGGCGACUCCCUGGACCGAGACUGACGCUGAGACGCGAAAGCGUGGGGAGCAAACAGGAUUAGAUACCCUAGUAGUCC